UUCAAUUUUAUUUUUCAUUUUUAUCGUACCACAUAAAGUUAGAGUCUAGAUCUAGUCAAACCUAACCUUAAAUAGCACGUAAAGGUACUUAAAUGUCCAUUCAUUAAAACAAAAAUAAAGGGGAAUAUGCAAUGGAUCUCAUCAAGCCCAAGUAUUUUUUUGCCUUUGAAUCUCAUAAUAAAGUACUAUUGAACAAAAUCCAGUAAAUUAAACCAGCAAGGUAUCCAUGUGCUAUUGGGUUAGAAAAAACUUUUAUUUUAAUUCAAAAAUAUAUUAAUGACAAAAAUGUUUUAUUAUUUGUAUGAUUAAUAUGUUAAUGACUGUCUUGCUUAUAAUCAAGUGGAAAUUAUAUGAAUUAACAAGAAUUAAUUGUUGACCGAUUGUUGGUCGAUUCUAGAAAUUUCAGGAUAAUACAACAAGAAAGAAAAAUGAUUGGUAUAUUUGAAUCAUUCCCCUUUAUAAAAUGUCAACAAUAUUCAUAGAAAGUGCAAUAUUUUUCAAUGAUCACUGUGUCAAUCUACAUAUUUCUUUGUUAUAUCAAUGUAAUAUUAAUGUUCUAAUUUCAGACUGGAACUAGAGAGCUUGGCUCUGACUGGUCUACUACAGCAAGGAAUGUGCCAGGGGCCAAUCUGAUGAACAUGUGGCAGAAGAUUUGGCAAUGGGUGAAGAAACACUGAGAUUGAAAUGCAACCACAGGUGGAGGCUUCACCCAAACUUUUCAGACGGAUGCGAGAUACAAAGUUACCCAAGUAUAAAUGGUCGAAGGUUUUGGAGAGCCAGACAAGAAGGCAGGAAAUGUGAUGUCACUUUGUAAUACUUCAAUAAACAUGAACAGCAGCAGGAGCAACAACAGCAUCAGCAGCCGAAACCUCAACUGCAAGAAGAGAUGCAGCAACCGCACCGACAACAUCAAGAGCAACAGCAAAAAUACCUACAUGUAUUACAGCAGAAAUGCAACAAUCACAUUGGCAACAUCAACAGUAGCAGGAGCUCCAACAACCAUGCAGGGAACAUCGCGCGCAACAUGAAUAACUUCAUGAAGAGAUGCAACAACCACAGUGGUAAACAUCAACAGCAGUAGCGACAACGACAGUAGAAACAAAGCCAAUGUCAAGGAUUAAGCAAUCAUACAGGAAACAACACAAGCGGCAACAUCAAUAAAUGCAUCAGGGGAUGCAACAGCCAUACUUGUAAACAGCAGCAGUAGCAGCGAUGACAAGAGCAACCACACAGGCAACACCUUGAGCAACAUCAGUAGCAAUGCACCAGCAAUGAAACAAUCACACCAACAACACCAAGAGCAGCAGCAAAAAGAAAAUAAAUUACAGCAACCAUGAUGACAACAGCAGC
Molecule: long non-coding RNA, 1350 nt
Organism: Lytechinus variegatus (green sea urchin)
Lineage: Eukaryota; Metazoa; Echinodermata; Echinoidea; Temnopleuroida; Toxopneustidae
Exons: 3
Source: RefSeq, a predicted model, not a curated record